Long non-coding RNA from Gigantopelta aegis, 182 nucleotides. RefSeq lists it as uncharacterized. The transcript is spliced from 3 exons. Lineage: Eukaryota; Metazoa; Mollusca; Gastropoda; Neomphalida; Peltospiridae. The record is from RefSeq and is a predicted model, not a curated record.
CGGAAAUGUUGUAAACUGGUCCUCUUUCAUCAUCGUAUCUAAAGGAUGUGCUGGACAGCCUGGAUUUUAAACAGAUAUACAGAUGACUAUUGAAGUUGUUGCUGUUUACACUUACAACAAAAGGAGAAACAGGUUCAAACACGCUGUCCUGGGAACACCUCGGAUAAGGAGGCACGACAAAA